RNAcentral lists this ribosomal RNA (245 nucleotides) under uncultured bacterium. Its description in RNAcentral is "partial small subunit ribosomal RNA". It matches the Rfam family "Bacterial small subunit ribosomal RNA", at positions 26 to 285 of the family's 1533-position model. The record is from RNAcentral.
AGAAUCAACGCUGGCGGCGUGCCUAACACAUGCAAGUCGAACGAGAAAGUGGAGCAAUCCAUGAGUAAAGUGGCGCACGGGUGAGUAACACGUGAAUGAUCUACCUCCGAGUGGGGAAUAACUGAGAGAAAUCUUAGCUAAUACCGCAUAACACUUACGAGUCAAAGCAGCAAUGCGCUUGGAGAGGAGUUCGCGGCCGAUUAGUUAAUUGGCGGGGUAAUGGCCCACCAAGACGAUGAUCGGUA